CAUACACACAUUUCCCAGUGAUCCUCACUUCUGGGGAUUCACACCCCAUGUAGCCCCUUUCCACAUGGAAUCUGGGCUGGCCUGUGUGAUGAAUAGAAUAUGAUGGAAGUGAAAGUGGUGACCUCCAAGGCGAAGUCAAAAAGGCAUUGCAGCUUCUGACAUGGCCCUUGGGUCAGCUGCUCUGCAGGAAGCCAGCUGCCAUCCCAUGAGGAUGCUCAAGUAGCCCUGUGGAGGGGCCCCAGGGACACCGGGCACGGAUCAACAGCCGGCACCAAUCUGCCAGCCAUGAGUGAGCCACCUUGGGAGGGGAACCUCCAGUCCCGGUCCAGCCUUCAGAUGACUGCAACCUCAACUGACAUCCAACUACAACUUAGUGAGUGACUUUGAGCCAGAACUGCCCAGCCAAGCUGUCCCUGAAUUCCUGACCUACAGAAAUCAUGAGAGAUCAUCAGUGGUUAUUGUGCACAGGGUCUGAGACAAUCACAGCAGAGGAGCCUGCAGACAGCAGCGCAGGUGGGAGCUCAUGGCGUGGGAAGAGGCUACACAUUUCGGUGCCUGGAUUCCAAUCUACCUCCUUCACUGACUUGCUGUGACCCAAGGCAAAGCUGAUUAGUCUCCCUGAGCCUCAGUUCCCUCAAGUGUGAAAGUCAUAAUAACUGAAUUUUCAGUGCCACCAGGAUUGGAGCCUGAUCUAUCUAUUGUCUUCUGGAAACCCAGUGACUCCCAUGGAACUCAGGCCCUUUGGUGGCUCGGAAGAGUCUCUCCAGCCAGCUGGAGGGAGUUGGCUGUUAC
This 792-nucleotide long non-coding RNA is filed under the name Homo sapiens (human). RNAcentral describes it as "HSALNT0348608". The record is from RNAcentral. Lineage: Eukaryota; Metazoa; Chordata; Mammalia; Primates; Hominidae.